This 253-nucleotide ribosomal RNA is filed under the name uncultured bacterium. RNAcentral's name for it is "partial 16S ribosomal RNA". It matches the Rfam family "Bacterial small subunit ribosomal RNA", at positions 524 to 777 of the family's 1533-position model. The record is from RNAcentral.
UACAGAGGGGGCAAGCGUUGUUCGGAAUUACUGGGCGUAAAGGGCGCGUAGGCGGCCUGUUAAGUCGAACGUGAAAUCCCCGGGCUCAACCCGGGAACUGCGUCCGAUACUGGCAGGCUUGAAUCCGGGAGAGGGAUGCGGAAUUCCAGGUGUAGCGGUGAAAUGCGUAGAUAUCUGGAGGAACACCGGUGGCGAGGCGGCAUCCUGGACCGGCAUUGACGCUGAGGCGCGAAAGCCAGGGGAGCAAACGGGG